AACGAACGCUGGCGGCAGGCCUAACACAUGCAAGUCGAGCGAGGACUUCGGUCCUAGCGGCGGACGGGUGAGUAACGCGUGGGAACGUGCCCUUUGCUUCGGAAUAGCCCUGGGAAACUGGGAGUAAUACCGGAUGAGCCCUUUGGGGGAAAGAUUUAUCGGCGAAGGAUCGGCCCGCGUUGGAUUAGGUAGUUGGUGGGGUAAUGGCCUACCAAGCCGACGAUCCAUAGCUGGUUUGAGAGGAUGAUCAGCCACACUGGGACUGAGACACGGCCCAGACUCCUACGGGAGGCAGCAGUGGGGAAUCUUAGACAAUGGGGGAAACCCUGAUCGAGCCAUGCCGCGUGAGCGAUGAAGGCCUCAGGGUUGUAAAGCUCUUUCAGCUGGGAAGAUAAUGACGGUACCAGCAGAAGAAGCCCCGGCUAACUCCGUG
Molecule: ribosomal RNA, 433 nt
Filed under: uncultured bacterium
Lineage: Bacteria
Description: partial 16S ribosomal RNA
Rfam family: Bacterial small subunit ribosomal RNA
Source: RNAcentral